ACGCUCGACACCUACGGAGGCAGCAGUCGGGAAUAUUGCGCAAUGGAGGAAACUCUGACGCAGUGACGCCGCGUAUGGGAAGAAGGUUUUCGGAUUGUAAACCAUUUUAGACAAGGAAGAAACAAGACAGUACUUGUAGAAUAAGCUCCGGCUAACUACGUGCCAGCAGCCGCGGUAAUCUGAGCGGGCUGGCAAGGC
RNAcentral lists this ribosomal RNA (198 nucleotides) under uncultured bacterium. RNAcentral describes it as "partial 16S ribosomal RNA". It matches the Rfam family "Bacterial small subunit ribosomal RNA", at positions 328 to 539 of the family's 1533-position model. The record is from RNAcentral.